This 74-nucleotide transfer RNA is filed under the name bacterium. RNAcentral describes it as "tRNA-Arg". It matches the Rfam family "tRNA". From Rfam's summary of the family: Transfer RNA (tRNA) molecules are approximately 80 nucleotides in length. Their secondary structure includes four short double-helical elements and three loops (D, anti-codon, and T loops). The record is from RNAcentral. RNAcentral also lists the same sequence under 5 other names.
GCGCGCGUAGCUCAAUUGGAUAGAGCAUCGGUCUUCGGAACCGACGGUUGGGGGUUCGAAUCCCUCCGCGCGCG